This 3365-nucleotide long non-coding RNA is filed under the name Taeniopygia guttata (zebra finch). Its description in RNAcentral is "lncRNA (ENSTGUG00000019833.1)". The record is from RNAcentral. Lineage: Eukaryota; Metazoa; Chordata; Aves; Passeriformes; Estrildidae.
UUGGUGUUCAUGUUGUUUUAUUUCUACUAACCAAUUCACUGGAUUAAACAGAAAUGCAUCAUGGGAAUUCACUAGAGUAAUUUUGCCCAAAAACUUUACUUGAUGAUGUAUGCUAAAUCAGGUAUCGCAGAGAAACACAAUUCCACCCAGGCAAACAGAGCAGCUCAAAUUUUUACUAUCAAAAAUAGUGUACACACAAUAUACUAUGCUAAAAAUUAUUUCCAGAAAUGAUCUACAGAAGUCAGUGCCUUUGAAAAAAGGUACUGGUGCUUUAAAGACUUAUCUAAAGCACAUUUUUUUCUGGUUGAAUUCAAAGGCCUUAAAUGUAUUUUCUUGGAUUUCAGAAAGAGUUUUUAUUCUGGAUACCAGUGCUGCACUUGCAAGUUUUGAUGAAGUUAUCAUAAAACAGCAUCAAUUGUUUUGCUGAUAUCAGUCAAUUAUUUCUACAUUUCUGUUCUCUGCAUAUUUUGUGUUUCUCAUCACAAGAUAAGCCAACUUUGCUUUUACAAGGUUUAUUCUUUGUAAGUCUAGUAAUGCUGAUCAUUAAUGAUUCCACUGCUGUUUGAGGACUUGAAAAAGAUUCUCUAGGAGACCUGUGUGCAGCUGCCUACAUCUUCCUGGGAGCCUCUUUGCAUAGACGGGUUUAGAGGAAAUUCAGAAACCCACCCAGGAAGGUCUCUUCAUGAAACACAGGCCCAAAAGCAAUUCUCAACAGAGGAAAGACUUUGCUCUACAGGCUCUCUUAUUCUUUUACAUCUGGCAGUGAAUAUUUUGGCUUGUACCAAAAGCAUUAAUCUUCUUUGCGCAAUAUGGAUCAUCAACUCAGAAAGGAAUUUACGGUGGCCUCCAGAGAAAGUUUUCUGUCAGUGCCAAAAGGCAAAGCAGCUGGACAGACAGACUGUGCUAAGACCGUUUGCUAAGUUCUAACUUAGCCCUGUCUCCAUGACAGCCCUAGUUGGAGCAAAUGUUCAGGUCGUACUGCUCAAACAGCAGGGAGCAAAGGCAGAACGAAGCAACACAAUCAAAGCACCACAACUAUAACUCUGCAUUUGACUUCCUGUAAAAACUUGUACAAACCCUAUUAUGAAUCCGUACUUGAUAAAGCUGGGACAGCUGUUCCAUCUGCAAACCAAUUGGAUAGAAUAGGAAGAAGGAAAUUUUGCCAGAGUGAAAACUAGACUUGCAUUUUAGAGGCUGAAAAAUCUAAGUACCUCUAAAUACUGUAUUUAUCUCAGCUUCACAACACAAUUAAUCAAACUGCUGGCUUCCACGCAUGCUUAUGCCACCAAAGGCACAGGAUUUCGACACUGAGGAAACUGGACUUUCACAGAAGUAUAUAAAGGUGAUUUUACUCAGCAUACACAGCCUGCUGAGUCAGUGAUGCCUAACAUGAGGUAUAACAUUGCUUACAAUAGUGAGACUUUGUGUUGGAUGGAGGAAUGAUCGAUGAGAAAGAAUGACUGAAAGUCCACACUAAAAUUUUAAAUCACCCCAGUUUAGAAGAAAGAAAAAGGAAAUGUUCUGUCAAAGAGAAAAUCAGAAUGAGCACUCCUUACAUGGUAGAUAAACCAUCUCAAAGUAGGCAUUUUACUUAUUAUAAUCCAUACAGAAUUACAUUGAUUCCAUUAAAGUAUUUCAGAUAAUGCCUGCUGCUUUAUACAAUGUACUGGUAUUUCACUUUAGAGCAGCAGCUAUAUCCACUGGGUUUGCAGGCAAGUUUAUUUUCCAGCCCCUGGUGGAAAAUAUUUCUGCUGAACCCCCUGGUGUUUUUCCAGCAUCUUAUUGCUAAGGCUAAACCAAAUACAUGCUAUCUAUUACUUUAACUUGUGUUUAGCUGAGCCAUUAAACAUAGUAUUACACUGUACUCUUGCAAACUUCAUAGACUGAAGGAUUUAAGAUUAAAUGACAGGCUUCUCUAGAAGCCUGAGAAAAUUCUUGUAGACACAUUGAAAACACUUCUUUUCAACAGUCAACUAAGUAUCAAGGCUACUUAAUGAUCAAAUCAAGAUCUGCAGACACCACAGCCUGCACACUCUUUCUUAGAAGAUUUUAAUCUUUGUCCUUGUCCUUCAGUGGAGUUUCUUUCCAGAGCAUCUUGGCUUAAUAAAUGCCUUUGAAGAAGGCUUCAGCACAAAUAAAAGAGUACUUGUGCAGCAAUCUUGAUUUCUUAUCAACUGUAUAGUGAUCAGGUGAAGGAAUAAUUUAUUUCAAUCAGCAACACCUGUUUUUAUAAUUGCUCAAGUGCUUAUAAUUCAAUAAUAAAGAGCCAAUUUAACUAUCUUUACUCAGAUAUUAACCUCUGAUAUACAGCAUUAGAAUGAAAUUGCCAUUGGUUAAAUUCCCUUAAGAAAACAAUUACUAUCAUACAUUUAUCCUAUUUUGAUCUGGUUUGUUUCUUAUUUCCUAUUUCCUAUUUCCCUUUUCUUCUAAGAAUAAAAUAUGUUCACAGAUUCUCAGUUGGAAGACCCCCACUGCUAUCCAUUUUCAACUAUAGUCAAAUAUACUUCAUCUCUUAAAAGGUUCAAUUAUUUUAAUUUUUCUUCAUAGUUAUCUUUUUAUGAUUUGCCAUUGUCAGACCAGAAUUACAUUUUAGACAUAUAAUUCAACUGGUGAUUUCCUAUAAUACCUAGAUCCAUUUCUGCAAAACCCCUGCUUAGCCAGGUAUUAUCCCUCCAUUUUUUAUUCCCUUUGUCUUUCCAAUCAAUAUAAAUACUUGUGGUUGUUCUAAAUGUACUGCAGCCAAUCUUUUUUUCCUAGGCAUUCCUCCAUUUUGUGAAGAUUGUUUGUAUUCCAAGCCUGCAUUUCUGCAUUUUUGCAGUUAUUCCCAGCUUUGUGUCAUGUGUUUUUCAAGUUUGCAGGCUCUCCAGCUCAUCUUCCAUACUUCUAAUAAAAAUAUUGAAUACUAAGUGGUCCAAGAGAUAUUUACUGCAGAUCUGUUCUCUAGCACAACUCAUCAUUCUACCUAAAAAAUUAAUAUUACUUAGCUACUAAGAUACCACAUUUCCUUUUUUUUUUUUUUCUUUUUGAAUGAGAUUUUUAUUCUGAAAACAGAAGCAAAGGUAAGUAUGUGAUCUCUACCAUUCCACCACCACCUUUUCCCUUCAGAAAUUAAAUGAGGAAUUUGUAUUUUUAAGUUUCUGGCACUUCCCUCUCUUCUUUGGGUUCUCAAAAACUAUAGCAAAUCUUUUUUGUGACAGAUACUUGACCCAAAGUAGUCCACAGUGGAUGCUUUUUGGCAUAGCUGAUUGGAAAUCUACCAAAUAUAUUCUGUCAAACCUGCUCUAGUAACCUGUUUUAGUCUUUGUCUCAGAUCUGCUAGCCAUUGGCUUGCAGCUGUGAAGAGUAAAGGAAAAAAAAAAAAAAAA